UGGCGGCGUGCUUAAACAUGCAAGUCGAACGAUGAACCGCUUUCGGGCGGGGAUUAGUGGCGAACGGGUGAGUAACACGUGGGCAAUCUGCCCUGCACUCUGGGACAAGCCCUGGAAACGGGGUCUAAUACCGGAUAUGACCGUCUGCCGCAUGGUGGAUGGUGUAAAGCUCCGGCGGUGCAGGAUGAGCCCGCGGCCUAUCAGCUUGUUGGUGAGGUAGUGGCUCACCAAGGCGACGACGGGUAGCCGGCCUGAGAGGGCGACCGGCCACACUGGGACUGAGACACGGCCCAGACUCCUACGGGAGGCAGCAGUGGGGAAUAUUGCACAAUGGGCGAAAGCCUGAUGCAGCGACGCCGCGUGAGGGAUGACGGCCUUCGGGUUGUAAACCUCUUUCAGCAGGGAAGAAGCGAAAGUGACGGUACCUGCAGAAGAAGCGCCGGCUAACUACGUGCCAGCA
This 460-nucleotide ribosomal RNA is filed under the name Streptomyces sp. BAB-1839. Its description in RNAcentral is "bacterial SSU rRNA". It matches the Rfam family "Bacterial small subunit ribosomal RNA", at positions 37 to 513 of the family's 1533-position model. The record is from RNAcentral. Lineage: Bacteria; Bacillati; Actinomycetota; Actinomycetes; Kitasatosporales; Streptomycetaceae.